Molecule: ribosomal RNA, 459 nt
Filed under: uncultured bacterium
Lineage: Bacteria
Description: partial 16S ribosomal RNA
Rfam family: Bacterial small subunit ribosomal RNA
Source: RNAcentral
CCUACGGGUGGCAGCAGUGAGGAAUAUUGGUCAAUGGGCGGGAGCCUGAACCAGCCAAGCCGCGUGAGGGAAGAAGGUACAGCGUAUCGUAAACCUCUUUUGUCAGGGAACAAAGGCGGGGACUAGUCCCCGGAUGAGGGUACCUGAAGAAAAAGCAUCGGCUAACUCCGUUCCAGCAGCCGCGGUAAUAGGGAGGAUGCGGGCGUUAUCGGGAUUUAUUGGGUUUAAGGGGUGCGCGGGCGGCCUGUUAAGUCGGCGGGAAAAGCCCGGGGCUCAACCCCGGCGUGCCGUUGAAACUGGGGGGCUGGAGUUGGAGAGAGGUACGCGGAAUGCGCGGGGUAGCGGUGAAAUGCGUAGAUAUCGCGCAGAACCCCGAUUGCGAAGGCAGCGUACCGGCUCCAAACUGACGCUGAGGCACGAAAGCGUGGGUAUCGAACAGGAUUAGAUACCCGGGUAGUC